UACGGAGGGGGCUAGCGUUGUUCGGAAUUACUGGGCGUAAAGCGCGCGUAGGCGGCUUUGUAAGUUAGAGGUGAAAGCCCGGGGCUCAACCCCGGAAUUGCCUUUAAGACUGCAUCGCUUGAAUCCGGGAGAGGUGAGUGGAAUUCCGAGUGUAGAGGUGAAAUUCGUAGAUAUUCGGAAGAACACCAGUGGCGAAGGCGGCUCCCUGGACCGGCAUUGACGCUGAGGUGCGAAAGCGUGGGGAGCAAACAGG
RNAcentral lists this ribosomal RNA (253 nucleotides) under uncultured bacterium. Its description in RNAcentral is "partial 16S ribosomal RNA". It matches the Rfam family "Bacterial small subunit ribosomal RNA", at positions 524 to 776 of the family's 1533-position model. The record is from RNAcentral.